RNAcentral lists this ribosomal RNA (465 nucleotides) under uncultured bacterium. RNAcentral's name for it is "partial 16S ribosomal RNA". It matches the Rfam family "Bacterial small subunit ribosomal RNA", at positions 28 to 507 of the family's 1533-position model. The record is from RNAcentral.
GACGAACGCUGGCGGCGUGCUUAACACAUGCAAGUCGAACGGAAAGGCCCCUUUGGGGGUCCUCGAGUGGCGCACGGGUGCGUAACACGUGAGUAACCUGCCCUUGACUUCGGGAUAACUUCAGGAAACUGGGGCUAAUACCGGAUAGGAAUCCUUGCUGCAUGGUGGGGGUUGGAAAGCUUCGGCGGUUUUGGAUGGACUCGCGGCUUAUCAGCUUGUUGGUGGGGUAGUGGCUUACCAAGGCUUUGACGGGUAGCCGGCCUGAGAGGGCGACCGGCCACAUUGGGACUGAGAUACGGCCCAGACGCCUACGGGAGGCAGCAGUGGGGAAUAUUGCACAAUGGGCGGAAGCCUGAUGCAGCAACGCCGCGUGCGGGAUGACGGCCUUCGGGUUGUAAACCGCGUUCAGCAGGGGCGAAGCUUGUGGUGACGGUACCUGCAGAAGAAGCACCGGCUAACUACGUG